Long non-coding RNA from Paramormyrops kingsleyae, 461 nucleotides. RefSeq lists it as uncharacterized. NCBI's taxonomy places the organism in Eukaryota, Metazoa, Chordata, Actinopteri, Osteoglossiformes, Mormyridae. The record is from RefSeq and is a predicted model, not a curated record.
UGUUGAACAAAACGUUAGCAGGGUCCCAUUUUGAUAUAGCCAGGCGGAGUGGGUGAUCCAAAUUCUGAAGCGAAAUACGAUGCCUUAGUGGCACCAGAGACCACAUAUCCAGAGCGCAGGAAGAAGGCCCAAGUUGGGGAGAGAUUUAUCAGCUGUCCAAAUGGUUUGCUGAUUGAAGUUCACAUGGCUAUGCUUGAAUCUCUUGAGGGGAAAAGGAUCAUUCAGCGAUGGUUGAGCAUUUCCUGUUUAUGGGUCUUGUGAAGAAUCCUUACAGGUGUUUGGACAAUGAAACUGACACACAAGCCAAUCGUUUUUGAGGCUUCAUGUCUAUAUAUGGGCAGUGUGUGACUCAGUGGGCUAAGCCUGUGUGCCUGUAAUCAGAAGGUCGCCGGUUCAAACCCAGCCUCAGCACGUAUGCGGGUCCUUGAGCAAGACCCUUAACCCCCAGCUCCCUGGGCGCU